RNAcentral lists this ribosomal RNA (231 nucleotides) under uncultured bacterium. RNAcentral describes it as "partial 16S ribosomal RNA". It matches the Rfam family "Bacterial small subunit ribosomal RNA", at positions 28 to 244 of the family's 1533-position model. The record is from RNAcentral.
GACGAACGCUGGCGGCGUGCUUAACACAUGCAAGUCGAGCGGUAAGGCCCUUCGGGUACGACGAGCGGCGAACGGGUGAGUAACACGUGGGUGACCUGCCCUCAGCUCUGGGAGUAAAGCCGUGGGAAACCGGGGUCUAAUACCGGAUAUGACCAUUGGAUGCAUGUCUGGUGGUGGAAAGCCAGUUGCUUUUUGUUUCUGGCGGCUGGGGAUGGGCCCGCGGCCUAUCAG